CAGAGGUCUCAAGCGUUGUUCGGAUUCAUUGGGCGUAAAGGGUGCGUAGGUGGCGGGGCAAGUCUGGUGUGAAAUCCCGGGGCUCAACCCUGGAACUGCACUGGAUACUGCUUUGCUAGAGUACUGGAGAGGGAACUGGAAUUUACGGUGUAGCAGUGAAAUGCGUAGAUAUCGUAAGGAAGACCAGUGGCGAAGGCGAGUUCCUGGACAGUUACUGACACUGAGGCACGAAGGCCAGGGGAGCAAACGGGAUUAGAUACCCCGGUAGUCCUGGCAGUAAACGGUGCGCGUUUGGUGUAGGAGGGAUUCGACCCCUUCUGUGCCGGAGCUAACGCGUUAAACGCGCCGCCUGGGGAGUACGGUCGCAAGAUUA
RNAcentral lists this ribosomal RNA (373 nucleotides) under uncultured organism. RNAcentral's name for it is "bacterial SSU rRNA". It matches the Rfam family "Bacterial small subunit ribosomal RNA", at positions 526 to 896 of the family's 1533-position model. The record is from RNAcentral.